Molecule: ribosomal RNA, 720 nt
Filed under: uncultured bacterium
Lineage: Bacteria
Description: bacterial SSU rRNA
Rfam family: Bacterial small subunit ribosomal RNA
Source: RNAcentral
AGAGUUUGAUCAUGGCUCAGAUUGAACGCUGGCGGCGUGCCUAACACAUGCAAGUCGAGCGAGAAACAACUUCUAAGAAUUCUUCGGAACGAUUAAAGUUGUGGAAAGCGGCGGACGGGUGAGUAACGCGUGGGCAACCUGCCCUAUACAGAGGGAUAGCCACUGGAAACGGUGAUUAAUACCUCAUGAUACUGCAAUAUCGCAUGAUGAUGCAGUCAAAGAUUUAUCGGUAUAGGAUGGGCCCGCGUCUGAUUAGCUAGUUGGUAAGGUAAUGGCUUACCAAGGCUUCGAUCAGUAGCCGACCUGAGAGGGUGAUCGGCCACACUGGAACUGAGACACGGUCCAGACUCCUACGGGAGGCAGCAGUGGGGAAUAUUGCACAAUGGGGGAAACCCUGAUGCAGCAACGCCGCGUGAGCGAUGAAGGCUUUCGGGUCGUAAAGCUCUGUCCUAAGGGAAGAAUAGAUGACGGUACCUUAGGAGGAAGCCCCGGCUAACUACGUGCCAGCAGCCGCGGUAAUACGUAGGGGGCAAGCGUUAUCCGGAAUCAUUGUGCGUAAAGGGUGCGUAGGCGGCCAGAAAAGUCAGAGGUGAAAGGCUACGGCUUAACCGUAGUAAGCCUUUGAAACUAUUUGGCUUGAGUGCAGGAGAGGAAAGUGGAAUUCCUAGUGUAGCGGUGAAAUGCGUAGAUAUUAGGAGGAACACCAGUGGCGAAGGCGAC